GCUGCAACUCGCCUGCAUGAAGUCGGAAUUGCUAGUAAUCGUAGGUCAGCAUACUACGGUGAAUACGUUCCCGGGCCUUGUACACACCGCCCGUCAAACCAUGAGAGUUGGCAACACCCGAAGUCGGUAGUCUAACCGCAAGGAGGACGCCGCCGAAGGUGGGGUUGAUGAUUAGGGUUAAGUCGUAACAAGGUAAC
This 197-nucleotide ribosomal RNA is filed under the name uncultured bacterium. RNAcentral's name for it is "partial 16S ribosomal RNA". It matches the Rfam family "Bacterial small subunit ribosomal RNA", at positions 1304 to 1500 of the family's 1533-position model. The record is from RNAcentral.